Molecule: ribosomal RNA, 428 nt
Filed under: Gemmatimonadota bacterium
Lineage: Bacteria; Pseudomonadati; Gemmatimonadota
Description: Gemmatimonadetes bacterium partial 16S ribosomal RNA
Rfam family: Bacterial small subunit ribosomal RNA
Source: RNAcentral
UAGGGAAUCUUCGGCAAUGGACAAAGUCUGACCGAGCAACGCCGCGUGAGUGAAGAAGGUUUUCGGAUCGUAAAACUCUGUUGUUAGAGAAGAACAAGGACGUUAGUAACUGAACGUCCCCUGACGGUAUCUAACCAGAAAGCCACGGCUAACUACGUGCCAGCAGCCGCGGUAAUACGUAGGUGGCAAGCGUUGUCCGGAUUUAUUGGGCGUAAAGCGAGCGCAGGCGGUUUCUUAAGUCUGAUGUGAAAGCCCCCGGCUCAACCGGGGAGGGUCAUUGGAAACUGGGAGACUUGAGUGCAGAAGAGGAGAGUGGAAUUCCAUGUGUAGCGGUGAAAUGCGUAGAUAUAUGGAGGAACACCAGUGGCGAAGGCGGCUCUCUGGUCUGUAACUGACGCUGAGGCUCGAAAGCGUGGGGAGCAAACAGG